UCUCCGUUGGUGAACCAGCGGAGGGAUCAUUACCGAGUUUACAACUCCCAAACCCAAUGUGAACCAUACCAAACUGUUGCCUCGGCGGGGUCACGCCCCGGGUGCGUCGCAGCCCCGGAACCAGGCGCCCGCCGGAGGGACCAACCAAACUCUUUCAGUAUUCCCCUCGCGGACGUUAUUUUUACAGCUCUGAGCAAAAAUUCAAAAUGAAUCAAAACUUUCAACAACGGAUCUCUUGGUUCUG
This 244-nucleotide unclassified non-coding RNA is filed under the name plant metagenome. Its description in RNAcentral is "partial contains small subunit ribosomal RNA, internal transcribed spacer 1, and 5.8S ribosomal RNA". The record is from RNAcentral.